UCAAGUUGUAACACGUGACGUGGAACCCGGUAGUCGGAUAACUCAUGAACGUGAGGAAACUCCGCAGUGGGAUAGGGAACUUAUUCUACCUAAAGCACCAUUCCCAAACAAAAUGCAUGCAUUUUCACGCCACCGUCGAAUGGACCGAUCAGCCAGGAGCGCAUUUUUGGAAAGAGCUGAAGUAGCCAUGAGCAAACGAGCCCAGGAAAUAACAUUACUUCGUCAAG
Molecule: non-coding RNA, 227 nt
Organism: Styela clava
Lineage: Eukaryota; Metazoa; Chordata; Ascidiacea; Stolidobranchia; Styelidae
Source: RefSeq, a predicted model, not a curated record